GAAAUGCGAUAAGUAAUGUGAAUUGCAGAAUUCAGUGAAUCAUCGAAUCUUUGAACGCACCUUGCGCUCCUUGGUAUUCCUUGGAGCAUGCCUGUUUGAGUAUCAUGAAAUCUUCAAAGUAAAUCUUUUGUUAACUCAAUUGGUUUCUACUUUGGUAUUGGAGGUCUUUGCAGCUUCACACCUGCUCCUCUUUGUUCAUUAGCUGGAUCUCAGUGUUAUGCUUGGUUCCACUCGGCGUGAUAAGUUAUUUAUCGCUGAGGACACUGUAAAAGGUGGCCAAGGUAAAUGCAGAUGAACCGCUUCUAAUAGUCCAUUGACUUGGACAAUACUUUUAUGAUCUGAUCUCAAAUCAGGUAGGACUACCCGCUGAACUUAAGC
This 378-nucleotide unclassified non-coding RNA is filed under the name plant metagenome. RNAcentral's name for it is "partial contains 5.8S ribosomal RNA, internal transcribed spacer 2, and large subunit ribosomal RNA". The stretch from base 1 to 105 matches the Rfam family "5.8S ribosomal RNA", at positions 50 to 154 of the family's 154-position model. The record is from RNAcentral.